Molecule: ribosomal RNA, 253 nt
Filed under: uncultured bacterium
Lineage: Bacteria
Description: partial 16S ribosomal RNA
Rfam family: Bacterial small subunit ribosomal RNA
Source: RNAcentral
UACGAAGGGGGCUAGCGUUGUUCGGAAUUACUGGGCGUAAAGCGCGCGUAGGCGGUGAUCUUUGUCAGAGGUGAAAGCCUGGGGCUCAACUCCAGAAUUGCCUUUGAAACGGGAUCGCUUGAGUCCGAGAGAGGAUGGCGGAAUUCCUAGUGUAGAGGUGAAAUUCGUAGAUAUCUGGAGGAACACCGGUGGCGAAGGCGGCAUCCUGGACCAAUUCUGACGCUGAGGAGCGAAAGCCAGGGGAGCAAACAGG